ACCUACGGGGGGCAGCAGUAGGGAAUUUUCGUCAAUGGGCGCAAGCCUGAACGAGCAAUGCCGCGUGAACGAGGAAGGUCUUCGGAUCGUAAAGUUCUGUUGAAGGGGAAAAAGAGCGGAGAGAGGAAAUGGUCUCCGAUUGAUAUUACCCUUCGAGGAAGUCACGGCUAACUACGUGCCAGCAGCCGCGGUAAUACGUAGGUGGCGAGCGUUAUCCGGAAUGAUUGGGCGUAAAGGGUGCGUAGGCGGCCUGCUAAGUCUGGUGUGAAAGGUACCGGCUCAACCGGUACAGGCUCUGGAAACUG
RNAcentral lists this ribosomal RNA (305 nucleotides) under uncultured bacterium. RNAcentral describes it as "bacterial SSU rRNA". It matches the Rfam family "Bacterial small subunit ribosomal RNA", at positions 337 to 635 of the family's 1533-position model. The record is from RNAcentral.